UGCAAUCAAUGAUGAAUAAAAUCGUCCAUAUUUAAUGAUAAUUCAGUGAUUAUUAAACACUAGAUCACCAUCUUUCGGCUGAGAUUGCA
Non-coding RNA from Brassica napus (rape), 89 nucleotides. Lineage: Eukaryota; Viridiplantae; Streptophyta; Magnoliopsida; Brassicales; Brassicaceae. The record is from Rfam.